UUUUUCAUGCCUCACACACUAGGUCUUGUUUUCCCUGAAUAGGGUGAGAGCUGGAGAUACAGGCUUGGAGAAGAUGAGAAAGGUUGAAUUGAUCUACAUAAGAGAGGUCAUCAAGACAGAUACCUGGAGCAAUAACAACAACAGCAACCACGACAACAAUUUGAAAGGCAGGGAGAGACUUAGAGAAGGUUGGCCAAAGUAAGAGAGAGUAGAAAACGGUGACUUGGCUUGGGAAUGUUUGGAGGCAGAGGGCAGGAGGAGUUGGGGACAGCCGCUAUACAAUAUUUUGCAGGGAGAGAGAUAUCUAAGCAGGCUUUCCAGAAGUGUCUCUUUAUGUUAUAAGAAGUAAGUUCCACCUCACCUACACUCCACAGCUCCCAGGACACUUCCAUAAAAAACAUGCAUUGUUUUUCAGUGCUUUUCUUAUAUUGGAUUUUGUUUCCUCAGAUGCUGUGCCAUGCUGUGCUCCUACCUUCGAGGCAGGGGGAAAGAUCCUGUUUGUUUUUGUGUGGACUGUCAACCAGGAAUUGGAACCUAAGUACCCAACCAUACCUUUGUUUAAAUCGUCAACAUAGAACUGGGUCAAGAGAGCAAUUUCACCAUAACUGCUGGACCUACAGUGUGGAAGAGCUUAGGCAGUAACAAGCACAAUUUGGGAUGUCCCUUGGAGUCCACCUCAAAGUAGAAGGGAAAGCGAGGAAACUACUCUGAAUUCAGAAUGGCAUGUUUGGGAGAAUGCACGAACUUCAGGGAACAUAUUCAGUAAGAAACCCAGCACUGCUCAUGACUUGGGACAAUGGAUAUAUCCUUGUGCAGUCUGGCAUGAUUGUGGUGACAAGAAACACCUGGUGGCAGAUUGUCUUCAAGAGGAAAGAACUCUGUGAAAAUCCAUCUUUCUCCUCUAGCACAUGGCUUAGACUCUGGGACCAGGGGAAUUACCUGCACAGCAUGUCCUGGAACCUUCCACAGCGUGCCCUUCCCAGGACAGCCAUCCAAGGCUGAUGUGUUAACUUAUUGAAAUUUGUAUUUAUUAAAUGUGAAAAUUGUUUGAAUAUCUUGGAUUGGGAUGAAAUGCACAUAUUUUUGUCCUUAAAAUUUAGUACUUAAAAAAAUUAACAGCUUUCUACUUGCUGGUGGGGUUUUUGAGAAGAAAACAAUCAAUGAUUUUAAGAGAGCGAUACUUUUACCAAGGUUUUUCUCCAAAUAGAAAUGUGGUACCUUUAGUUUCCUGAUGCCAAAAGCACAUGAGGCUGUUGAGAGAGCCACUUCUGUCCUGGGUGCAACCUACCCCAGCCCCAGCCAUGGACUUGUUAGAAACUUGAGAAAGAUGACGCUUCUCUGAGGAUUAGAUCUUAGGAACAGAUAGAGAUGUCUAAAGUGUAUUUCCUGAAAGUCUUGCUGGGUGAUGUACAACAUAAACACUCUCUUCACUCCUCAUGAAAGAAUCUUAGAAAAAGAUGAGUUCUUGAUGAUCUUUAGAAGGUCUAUUUUGUAUUUCGUCUGGAUGCUACACAAUGGGGAGACUGGCAUCAAGGCUGGACCCAGAAGGCCCAGUUUCAUGCCGUUAGGAUAUCUAAGCAUAUCAAAUCCAUACAUUCAUAUGUAAAGACAUAGUAAGCUUUGUGGUUGCGACAGCGGUCCUCGUGGAGACUAGACUGUAAUUCAGACAUGGACAAGGCAAAAUCAAUCUUUUUUUUUUCUUUUUUGCAGUAGAAGUCUUAUCAAGGUAGAUCGUACAUGAGUUCCUACUGGCAGGUGAGAGAGGUGAGAUCUGGAGAGGGGACUUCUCUCUCUCCUGUUUGGACUAACCCUACUCCCUGAACUAUUUCAUGAGCCCUGUAGAGAGCAAGCAAUAGGCAAAGUCAAGGAGUCUUCACAGGAGCUUGGUGAAACCAGAAACAAAAGCAAGAUUGUUCAUGCAGGAUGGAGGAAGACUCUCUCCUCUUGGCCGCAGCUCUGAGUGUGAUACUGCUUUGACAUUGUGAGGGUUUGCACUGGGUGACCUCAAAGGACCAGCAAAGGGCUGGUGCAAGUCUAUCAGCACUGCCUGCAUGACCAGCCACCAUUGGUGUACAUCAUGGACUGCACCUGUGUGUACACCAACAUGGGGCCUGAGGGAAGACAUGCAUUUAGAGACCUCAAGCAAUUCCUUUUGAGUUGAGGGACUUUGAGAAGAGGUGAGGUGUGUCUAUGGUACGUGG
This 2201-nucleotide long non-coding RNA is filed under the name Homo sapiens (human). Its description in RNAcentral is "HSALNT0024082". The record is from RNAcentral. Lineage: Eukaryota; Metazoa; Chordata; Mammalia; Primates; Hominidae.